Amyelois transitella is the source of this 154-nucleotide long non-coding RNA. RefSeq lists it as uncharacterized. The record is from RefSeq and is a predicted model, not a curated record. NCBI's taxonomy places the organism in Eukaryota, Metazoa, Arthropoda, Insecta, Lepidoptera, Pyralidae. The transcript has 3 exons.
CCGCCCACAUCAUCCAGCCCUAAGUCAUCAACUGGAAGCAGCACCAGUACUCCACCUACCCCUCCUGAGACAUCUUCAAACACCAGUGCUCCGCCGACAUCGUCCAGCCCUGAGUCAUCAACUAGUGAGACUUUGUUUACUUAUGUAUUUCUUU